This 504-nucleotide ribosomal RNA is filed under the name uncultured bacterium. RNAcentral's name for it is "partial 16S ribosomal RNA". It matches the Rfam family "Bacterial small subunit ribosomal RNA", at positions 30 to 523 of the family's 1533-position model. The record is from RNAcentral.
AUUGAACGCUGGCGGCACGCCUAACACAUGCAAGUCGAGCGGCAGCGAGACUAGUAGCAAUACUAGUUGUCGGCGAGCGGCGGACGGGUGAGUAACACGUAGGAAUCUGCCCUUAAGCGGGGGAUAACCAAGGGAAACUUUGGCUGAUACCGCAUAAUCUCGAGAGAGCAAAGCUGCCCGCAAGGGUGGCACUUGAGGAGGAGCCUGCGUCCGAUUAGCUAGUUGGUGGGGUAAUGGCCUACCAAGGCGAUGAUCGGUAACUGGUCUGAGAGGACGACCAGUCACACUGGGACUGAGACACGGCCCAGACUCCUACGGGAGGCAGCAGUGGGGAAUAUUGGACAAUGGGGGCAACCCUGAUCCAGCGAUGCCGCGUGAGUGAAGAAGGCCUUCGGGUCGUAAAGCUCUUUAGGUUGGGAAGAAGGGUAUUGGCUGAAUAAUCCAGUACUUUGACGGUACCGACAGAAUAAGCACCGGCAAACUCUGUGCCAGCAGCCGCCGUAA